GACCAGUGGCCGAGUUGGUAUGGCCUAGCGAUAUAGCGACACAGCGAUAUAGCGACAUAGCGAUACAGCGUUAGUAUUAAUACUCUAUAUCUAUACUCUAUAUCGUUAGGCGCGGGGGUUCGAUUCCCUCGUUGGCCA
This is a non-coding RNA of Xylaria telfairii, 138 nucleotides long. Lineage: Eukaryota; Fungi; Ascomycota; Sordariomycetes; Xylariales; Xylariaceae. The record is from the annotation of a GenBank genome assembly.